CCUGGGUAUAUAGAUAGAGAGAGAUAGAGAGACAGACAGACAGACGUUUAAACCUGCAGGUCAUCUCAGACCAGGGUAUCCAGACAGACAGACAGACCAUUAAACCUGCAGGUUCUCUCAGACCUGGGUAUAUAGAUAAAAAUAGAGAGAGACAGACAGACAGACGUUUAAACCUGCAGGUCCUCUCAGACCAGGAUAUCCAGACAGACAGACAGACAGACCAUUAAACCUGCAGGUUCUCUCAGACCUGGGUAUAUAGAUAGAGAGAGAUAGAGAGACAGACAGACAGACGUUUAAACCUGCAGGUCCUCUCAGACCAGGAUAUCAAGACAGACAGACAGACCUUUAAACCUGCAGGUUCUCUCAGACCUGGGUAUAUAGAUAGAGAUAGAGAGAGAGAGACAGACAGACGUUUAAACCUGCAGGUCCUCUCAGACCAGGGUAUCCA
Molecule: long non-coding RNA, 448 nt
Organism: Oncorhynchus keta (chum salmon)
Lineage: Eukaryota; Metazoa; Chordata; Actinopteri; Salmoniformes; Salmonidae
Exons: 3
Source: RefSeq, a predicted model, not a curated record